AUGACUUGCACAGAGCUCCUUAUGAAGGGUGAGGUGGCUGGAUUUGUAGCUCACACCUGCUUUUUAAUAACCAUUGUGUUAAGUCCUCAUCCAUGUCAGGAAGGAACACAGAUGUACAGACCACACCAGGAGUGUUGUGGUGAGUCUGCAGGAUCCAUCCAAUCAGGAGCCUCAUCUGGACAGGUGGAAUCAGGAGAGACUUCUGAUUGGCUGGAAGGAAAACCUGCAGCUGGAACUUGUGUCUUUCAGAAUUUUAAAAUUGAACAUCUGCUCAUGCUCUGGGUUCACCAUCACACGCUGCUUCUUCAGGGAGGAAGUUGGGCUUCCCAUCACCCCGCGUCUCCGAUCGGCACCAAAGAUCCAGAAACCAUGUGCUGAACAUGGACCUGGAAUCCACAUUAUAGUCCUUCUCUAUGAUGCUGUAAAACUCCUGAGACUGCAGGCGAUGAGACGUGGAUGAGACGAUGAGAUCCUCCUGCUCUGAGCACUCUGCGGACGUGGAGAGUAAUGAUGGAGCAGAGUUUCCCUUUGGGAUUCUUCAUCUGAUCUGCUCUGGGAUUGGAUUCUGUCAAAAAAAAUCUACUCUGAAAUUGAUUGAGAUUGGAAUAUUUGAUGUGUUUGGAGGUUCUGGUGCUGAGGUCUGCUGUUCCUUCACUGCUAUUGGUGGUGGAAUCGGCAUGAUAGUGUACAGAGAAACAUCUGAAAGACCUGGAGGACUUCAGAACCACUGCUUCACUGAGAUUAAGAGCAAAAAUAAACCUGACAGUAGAUU
Molecule: long non-coding RNA, 772 nt
Organism: Silurus meridionalis
Lineage: Eukaryota; Metazoa; Chordata; Actinopteri; Siluriformes; Siluridae
Exons: 3
Source: RefSeq, a predicted model, not a curated record